Molecule: ribosomal RNA, 465 nt
Filed under: Vreelandella stevensii
Lineage: Bacteria; Pseudomonadati; Pseudomonadota; Gammaproteobacteria; Oceanospirillales; Halomonadaceae
Description: partial 16S ribosomal RNA
Rfam family: Bacterial small subunit ribosomal RNA
Source: RNAcentral
CCUACGGGAGGCAGCAGUGGGGAAUAUUGGACAAUGGGGGGAACCCUGAUCCAGCCAUGCCGCGUGUGUGAAGAAGGCCCUCGGGUUGUAAAGCACUUUCAGUGAGGAAGAACGCCUGGUGGUUAAUACCCAUCAGGAAAGACAUCACUCACAGAAGAAGCACCGGCUAACUCCGUGCCAGCAGCCGCGGUAAUACGGAGGGUGCGAGCGUUAAUCGGAAUUACUGGGCGUAAAGCGCGCGUAGGUGGCUUGAUAAGCCGGUUGUGAAAGCCCCGGGCUCAACCUGGGAACGGCAUCCGGAACUGUCAAGCUAGAGUGUAGGAGAGGAAGGUAGAAUUCCCGGUGUAGCGGUGAAAUGCGUAGAGAUCGGGAGGAAUACCAGUGGCGAAGGCGGCCUUCUGGACUGACACUGACACUGAGGUGCGAAAGCGUGGGUAGCAAACAGGAUUAGAUACCCGGGUAGUC